GUACGUGAAAUUGCUGAAAGGGAAACGCUUGAAGUCAGUCACGUUGGCUAGGAAUCAACCUUGCUUUUGCUGGGUGUACUUUCUGGUUGACGGGUCAGCAUCAGUUUUGACCAGUGGAUAAAGGCAUGAGAAAUGUGGCUUCUUCGGAAGUGUUAUAGUCUUGUGUUGUAUACAUUGGUUGGGACUGAGGAACUCAGCACGCCGCAAGGCCGGGGUUCGCCCACGUUCGUGCUUAGGAUGCUGGCAUAAUGGCUUUAAUCGACCCGUCUUGAAACACGGACCAAGGAGUCUAACAUGCCUGCGAGUGUUUGGGUGGAAAACCCGAGCGCGUAAUGAAAGUGAAAGUUGAGAUCCCUGUCGUGGGGAGCAUCGACGCCCUGACCAGACCUUUUGUGACGGAUCAGCGGUAGAGCAUGUAUGUUGGGACCCGAAAGAUGGUGAACUAUGCCUGAAUAGGGUGAAGCCAGAGGAAACUCUGGUGGAGGCUCGUAGCGAUUCUGACGUGCAAAUCGAUCGUCAAAUUUGGGUAUAGGGGCGAAAGACUAAUCGAACCAUCUAGUAG
RNAcentral lists this ribosomal RNA (562 nucleotides) under Crepidotus lundellii. Its description in RNAcentral is "eukaryotic LSU rRNA". It matches the Rfam family "Eukaryotic large subunit ribosomal RNA", at positions 395 to 950 of the family's 3401-position model. The record is from RNAcentral. Lineage: Eukaryota; Fungi; Basidiomycota; Agaricomycetes; Agaricales; Crepidotaceae.